CUUACAGUGUCCGGCUCUCGUCUGGCUCUGCACACACAAGCGGACAAGCUAGUAGCUUCCUCAAUUAAAAGAAAGGUUUUCUUUGCCGAAACUCAAUGUUAUAGCUUAUGCAUGAUAGAAGUGGGUUCCCUGUGGAAGAGAGAGAGAGAGAUAGAAGGAGCUCGUGGGAAUGGGACAGAGUUGUUAUAGGGAAGAGUAGACAAGUUGUUGUGGUUCUUAAAAAAUGAAUCCGGAAUUCGAAUGAUUUUAUCUUCAGGACAGCACAUAUGUCGAAUCGUGAAAACCUGAACUCGUGAAAACCUGAACUCGUGAAAACCUGAACUCGUGAAAUUAAUCCUGUAGCGUGGAAUUGUGAAAUCAUUGACUGACUGAACUCUGAAUAAACUGAUAAUCUAGAACUUGAACGUCACGCA
Molecule: long non-coding RNA, 413 nt
Organism: Actinia tenebrosa (Australian red waratah sea anemone)
Lineage: Eukaryota; Metazoa; Cnidaria; Anthozoa; Actiniaria; Actiniidae
Source: RefSeq, a predicted model, not a curated record